This 744-nucleotide ribosomal RNA is filed under the name uncultured bacterium. RNAcentral's name for it is "bacterial SSU rRNA". It matches the Rfam family "Bacterial small subunit ribosomal RNA", at positions 8 to 796 of the family's 1533-position model. The record is from RNAcentral.
AGAGUUUGAUCAUGGCUCAGAGCGAACGCUGGCGGCAGGCUUAACACAUGCAAGUCGAGCGGGCGUAGCAAUACGUCAGCGGCAGACGGGUGAGUAACGCGUGGGAACGUACCUUUUGGUUCGGAACAACACAGGGAAACUUGUGCUAAUACCGGAUAAGCCCUUACGGGGAAAGAUUUAUCGCCGAAAGAUCGGCCCGCGUCUGAUUAGCUAGUUGGUGAGGUAAUGGCUCACCAAGGCGACGAUCAGUAGCUGGUCUGAGAGGAUGAUCAGCCACAUUGGGACUGAGACACGGCCCAAACUCCUACGGGAGGCAGCAGUGGGGAAUAUUGGACAAUGGGCGCAAGCCUGAUCCAGCCAUGCCGCGUGAGUGAUGAAGGCCCUAGGGUUGUAAAGCUCUUUUGUGCGGGAAGAUAAUGACGGUACCGCAAGAAUAAGCCCCGGCUAACUUCGUGCCAGCAGCCGCGGUAAUACGAAGGGGGCUAGCGUUGCUCGGAAUCACUGGGCGUAAAGGGUGCGUAGGCGGGUCUUUAAGUCAGGGGUGAAAUCCUGGAGCUCAACUCCAGAACUGCCUUUGAUACUGAAGAUCUUGAGUUCGGGAGAGGUGAGUGGAACUGCGAGUGUAGAGGUGAAAUUCGUAGAUAUUCGCAAGAACACCAGUGGCGAAGGCGGCUCACUGGCCCGAUACUGACGCUGAGGCACGAAAGCGUGGGGAGCAAACAGGAUUAGAUACCCUGGUAGUCC